This 468-nucleotide ribosomal RNA is filed under the name uncultured bacterium. RNAcentral describes it as "partial 16S ribosomal RNA". It matches the Rfam family "Bacterial small subunit ribosomal RNA", at positions 28 to 507 of the family's 1533-position model. The record is from RNAcentral.
GACGAACGCUGGCGGCGUGCUUAACACAUGCAAGUCGAACGGAAAGGCCCUGCUUUUGUGGGGUGCUCGAGUGGCGAACGGGUGAGUAACACGUGAGUAACCUGCCCUUGACUUUGGGAUAACUUCAGGAAACUGGGGCUAAUACCGGAUAGGAGCUCCUGCUGCAUGGUGGGGGUCGGAAAGUUUCGGCGGAUGGGGAUGGACGCGCGGCUUAUCAGCUUGUUGGUGGGGUAGUGGCUUACGAAGGCUUUGACGGGUAGCCGGCCUGGGAGGGUGACCGGCCACAUUGGGCCUGCGAUACGGCCCAGACUCCUACGGGAGGCAGCAGUGGGAAACAUUGCACAAUGGGCGGAAGCCUGAUGCAGCAACGCCGCGUGCGGGAUGACGGCCUUCGGGUUGUAAACCGCUUUCGCCUGUGACGAAGCGUGAGUGACGGUAAUGGGUAAAGAAGCACCGGCUAACUACGUG